RNAcentral lists this ribosomal RNA (140 nucleotides) under uncultured bacterium. RNAcentral describes it as "partial 16S rRNA". It matches the Rfam family "Bacterial small subunit ribosomal RNA", at positions 356 to 511 of the family's 1533-position model. The record is from RNAcentral.
UGGGAAUUUUCCGCAAUGGGCGAAAGCCUGACGGAGCAAUGCCGCGUGGAGGUGGAAGGCCUACGGGUCGUCAACUUCUUUUCUCGGAGAAGAAACAAUGACGGUAUCUGAGGAAUAAGCAUCGGCUAACUCUGUGACAG